Molecule: ribosomal RNA, 550 nt
Filed under: uncultured Arthrobacter sp.
Lineage: Bacteria; Bacillati; Actinomycetota; Actinomycetes; Micrococcales; Micrococcaceae
Description: bacterial SSU rRNA
Rfam family: Bacterial small subunit ribosomal RNA
Source: RNAcentral
AGAGUUUGAUCCUGGCUCAGGAUGAACGCUGGCGGCGUGCUUAACACAUGCAAGUCGAACGAUGAUCCCCAGCUUGCUGGGGGGAUUAGUGGCGAACGGGUGAGUAACACGUGAGUAACCUGCCCUUAACUCUGGGAUAAGCCUGGGAAACUGGGUCUAAUACCGGAUAUGACUCCUCAUCGCAUGGUGGGGGGUGGAAAGCUUUAUUGUGGUUUUGGAUGGACUCGCGGCCUAUCAGCUUGUUGGUGAGGUAAUGGCUCACCAAGGCGACGACGGGUAGCCGGCCUGAGAGGGUGACCGGCCACACUGGGACUGAGACACGGCCCAGACUCCUACGGGAGGCAGCAGUGGGGAAUAUUGCACAAUGGGCGCAAGCCUGAUGCAGCGACGCCGCGUGAGGGAUGACGGCCUUCGGGUUGUAAACCUCUUUCAGUAGGGAAGAAGCGAAAGUGACGGUACCUGCAGAAGAAGCGCCGGCUAACUACGUGCCAGCAGCCGCGGUAAUACGUAGGGCGCAAGCGUUAUCCGGAAUUAUUGGGCGUAAAGAGCU